GGUGGGGACAGGGGGUCGGCCGCGGAGGCGGCCCGGGCGCCGGCCUCCCUAGCGCUCACCGCCGCGCUCCGCUGGCUGGGCCGUGCUGGCCCCUGGCGCUAGGCAGCUGACUCCAUCCAGAUGUGCCGCGGCUCCAGAGUGGCUGCCGCGCGCAGUAAAUGGGCAUCGGAGGCUCGUCAAUCCGGGCCAGAGCAAUUGCGGUCUCGGGGCCGCCCCACUGGCACUCGGAAAGGGUCUCGCUCUGUCACCCAGGCAGAAGAGCAGUGGUACGAUCUUGGUUCAUUACAGCCUUGACCUCCUGAGCUCAAGUGAUCCUUCCACCUCAGCCUCCGGAGUAGCUGGGACCGCAGGAAUGCAAUACCAUGUCUGGCUAAUUUUUGUACUUUUGGUAGAGGCGGGGUCUUGCUACCUUACCAGGGCUGGUCUCAAACUCCCGGGCUCAAGCGAUCCUCCUUGCCUUGGCCUCCCAAAGUACUGAGAUUACAGGCAUGAGCCGCUGCACAGAGCCCCACUAACUAUUUUUUGAAUAAAUCUGAGUUCCUGAAAGAUUGAAUACAAUCUGUUUAGAGGAAGAAGCUGUAAAACUGUAAUAAGAUGAAAGAAGAAGAAAGGAAGAAAAGGAGGAGCGAAAGGAGGAGGGGAAGAAACUGAUUCAUGCAGGUUAAAUAAUAUCAUAAUUAUUCCACUGUAAUUUUUUUGCACUUUAAAGUACUCACCUGUCUAUUCUGUACUGGAGUUCUGACCUUGUUUCUGGUCUACCACACCACUGCAUUUUCAAACCAAGAAUUCACUGAGAGCGAAUAGGAAGGCUCGUGCACCAGAGAGACUAUUCUCAUUUAUUUCUUAAUUAUUUAUCAACAAAACUUCAUUGGCACACUUAUUGAGAGAGUUUCAAAUCAGCGUGCUGGGCGCUGGGAAGCGCACUGGGUGCUGAGACACGGGAAGCCACAGCUUCUCUGGAGAAGCUCGCAUUCUGAAAGGAAGCGUUGGGAGAGGACAUGGAUGAAAACAUACAAGACAAAACAGUGAGCAUUGUGAUAAGAGAUAAUACAGUGUCACAGCAGCAAGAAGAAGGAAUUCACGACUCUCAAGAGGUCGAGAUCAUCCUUGAACCACCACUGACCUCAAGGCAAGGCACAAGGCGAAGAGCCCCCGAGUGGCACAGGGAGAUUGAGGGUCUCAUCCCCACUCAUAGGAAUUCAGCCCAUCAGUGGUCUAGACUGAGACAAGAAAUUAAGUAAAUUUGACUCCUAUGCCACUUCUAUAUUUAUCCAUUCAUUCGUGGGAACACUGAGAUUCCACUCCCUGUGCCUGACAGUUUGAACUAACAUUCUUACAUGUUGGUAUCACUCAAGAAUCACACUGGGAGAAGGUGGGUUUAGGUUUCUCUAGCUAGAAAAAGACUCACCACAAGGAAUCGAAUGUAAUCCUAGUUCUAAUCCAAUCUAGACCAAAAGGGUCCAGUUACUGUCCACAGAGGGCUGCGUCCAGGAAGGCCAUACUGGUGUGCUCCCAGCCACAGCCCCAGCAUGGCCGACACACAGGAAUGAAAGGUCAUGCCAGCUCCUGCUCCUUCCUUAUCCUAAGAGCCCGAGGCCCACACCUUCCCUUAAACAGACCCAGGGCACAGCCCUUCCUUAAGUCAUCCCAUAACAGUGCUGGACUACCAAAGUCCAAGCCACCACACAGGGAUGACAUAAGUGAGGUUUCCAUCUGCCAGGAGGCCAGAGGAAUGCAAGUGUCACGUCAUGGGGAAGGAAGGCCCAGUAGUAACAGUCACCUCCGAGGGGCCUUCCUUGUGGAUUGAGGGUGUCUUCUCCAUGCAGUUAGCUUAAUAACAAUAAACAGGUGGACUAGGUUCAUGAUUGAUAAAUUCCUUCUCUACCCAACCCUCCCCCUGCCCUAGACAAUGUUGGUGUCUGUACAAUUAGAAGGAUCUAUUCUCUUUUUAAUGCGGAAGCAAAGCAGAGUGAUAGGAGCUUAGAGAAAUCGCAGCACAGAUGUCAAGGCCGUAGGCCCAAGGGCUGUUAAAAAAAGAAAACUCUGUAAAUGGAAGUGAGGCUUAGUAAGGCACAGCCCUUAAGUCUUGGCUCACAAUGCAAAGGAAAAAAAGAAAAAAGAAAAAAGACUGGUGGGUGGGGGAGUUUCCUGAAGCCAUGAGUAAAAUCUGGCAGAAAGCAUUCUAUACAGCCUUUUUUGGUUUCAAUCCGCAUGACAUCACAAUCUGUGAAUUUUGCUGUGAUUGAAUUUGAAUGAACUUGUAGAUUCAAAACAAAACCCAUUUGAAACAAGCUCCACAAAGCAACUCUAGCUUCCCUGCAGCAGUUAAGUGCAUUUCCUAACUGCCUUCUUCUUUUCUGGAUGGCAAGGCCCGCCUGGGAUAACACGCCAAGUCCAAACCACACAGACACAUGCAUGCACACGCAUGCAGACACAUACAAGCACACACAGACAUAUGUGCACACACACAUGCAGACAUACAUGUGCACAUACACUCAUUCACAGAAACACACACACACACACACACACACAGUGGGAGCAGCAGGUCCAAGAGAAGUGGCAGGAGCACUGGACUGGACUGUCGAUUCUACCUGGGAGAACCUGCCCAUCCUUUUGUUCUGCUUCCCCUUUUUAUUCCUAUUAUCUUAGUUCUGCCCAGUAAAGGCAAGAAGGAAGACCUAGACCAGCCCUGCAAACACAUUGUGAGCUUAGAGAAACCAGGGCAGAAGAAAAGAAAACCACACAACAGUACUGGUGUGACGAUUAAAGUAUUCCAC
This 2777-nucleotide long non-coding RNA is filed under the name Homo sapiens (human). Its description in RNAcentral is "HSALNT0346649". The record is from RNAcentral. Lineage: Eukaryota; Metazoa; Chordata; Mammalia; Primates; Hominidae.